GACGAGUGGGGAACUGGUGGAGUAACACGUGGGUAACCUGCCCUUGAAGUAGGGGAUAACACUUGGAAACAGGUGCUAAUACCGUAUAACAACCAAAACCACCUGGUUUUGGUUUAAAAGACGGCUUCGGCUGUCACUUUAGGAUGGACCCGCGGCGCAUUAGCUUGUUGGUAAGGUAACGGCUUACCAAGGCGAUGAUACGUAGCCGACCUGAGAGGGCAAUCGGCCACAUUGGGACUGAGACACGGCCCAAACUCCUACGGGAGGCAGCAGUAGGGAAUCUUCCACAAUGGACGAAAGUCUGAUGGAGCAACGCCGCGUGAGUGAUGAAGGGUUUCGGCUCGUAAAACUCUGUUGUUGGAGAAGAACAGGUGUCAGAGUAACUGUUGACAUCUUGACGGUAUCCAACCAGAAAGCCACGGCUAACUACGUGCCAGCAGCCGCGGUAAUACGUAGGUGGCAAGCGUUGUCCGGAUUUAUUGGGCGUAAAGCGAGCGCAGGCGGUUUUUUAGGUCUGAUGUGAAAGCCUUCGGCUUAACCGGAGAAGUGCAUCGGAAACCGGGAGACUUGAGUGCAGAAGAGGACAGUGGAACUCCAUGUGUAGCGGUGAAAUGCGUAGAUAUAUGGAAGAACACCAGUGGCGAAGGCGGCUGUCUGGUCUGUACCUGACGCUGAGGCUCGAAAGCAUGGGUAGCGAACAGGAUUAGAUACCCUGGUAGUCCAUGCCG
Molecule: ribosomal RNA, 728 nt
Filed under: uncultured bacterium
Lineage: Bacteria
Description: bacterial SSU rRNA
Rfam family: Bacterial small subunit ribosomal RNA
Source: RNAcentral